AUAAAUGAAUGGGCCAUCCUGAAAGCUGCUCGAGCUGAGGAGGUCUGAGUUGAUUGGUGGGCGUGGUUAAGGAUAAUGGCCAAUUUACACAGUGCGAAUCAAGGAAUAUCAAUGGACUGUCUUUCCUAAUGUCUUUGAGUGGCUGUCCAUCUUUCACCAUCAAUGGGGACUUCUUGUACUCAAUCCUGGCCUGUCUAAGGCUCACCUAAUCGAUUACAACUUGCAAUGAACUUGGAUGUAAAAUAAUAAAGUCUUAUUCUUUCUUUGGUGAUGGGCAUCUUUUAUCAAGAUGUACUGCUUAUACUGUAUCUAAUACAUCAAAAGUUCCAAUUUUACUAUAAUGUAUAAAUAUUUAGCAGUUGUUUAUUUGUUACUGUAUAAUUUUUGUUUUAAUAAUAAUGAUCUUUCAACUAGUAAGAGUGAAGCACUGGAGUAAGCAGUAGCAUUGCUCUGACACCAGGUCCACUUCUUUCUUUGUUGGUCAUGAGCAAAUAAAAAAAAUUAGAAAAUAAACAAUAAAAAGUAAGAAAAUAGUCCAAAAAUAUUGCCACACUCUCAGAAGAAAUCAGAAGAAAUUCCAAAAUAAAAGUAAUCUGAAAAUAUCCCCAUGCUGUCUAAACAAAUCAGAAAAAAUGGAAAAUAAAAACCCGGCGGCGUUGGAAAAAAUUGGAAAAAAUUCUAAAUAUUAGAAAUAAUAAUCCAAAGGUGCUCCCAAGCUAUUUGCAAAAAACAAUUCUGGCAGUGUCGAAAAAAAAUUGUAAAAAUUCUAAAAAUCAGAAAUAAUAAUCUGAAUGCGCUUCCAAGCUAUUGGCAAAAAAUAAAAAAAUAAAAAAAUAAUUAAAUAAUACAAAAAUUCCGGCGGCAUCAGAAAAAAUUGGAAAAAUUCUAAAAAUCAGAAAAUAAUGAUUCAAAGGUGCUCCCAAGCUUUGGGCAAAAUAUAAUAAAUCAUAAAAAAAAAAAAAAAUUCCGGCAGCGUCGAAAAAAAUUCUAAAAAUCAGAAGUAAUAAUCGGAAUGCGCUCCCAAGCUAUCGGCCCAAAAAAAA
Molecule: long non-coding RNA, 1043 nt
Organism: Amphimedon queenslandica
Lineage: Eukaryota; Metazoa; Porifera; Demospongiae; Haplosclerida; Niphatidae
Exons: 2
Source: RefSeq, a predicted model, not a curated record